Molecule: ribosomal RNA, 636 nt
Filed under: Herbaspirillum sp. KP1-67
Lineage: Bacteria; Pseudomonadati; Pseudomonadota; Betaproteobacteria; Burkholderiales; Oxalobacteraceae
Description: bacterial SSU rRNA
Rfam family: Bacterial small subunit ribosomal RNA
Source: RNAcentral
GGAACGUGCCCUGGAGUGGGGGAUAGCUCGGCGAAAGCCGGAUUAAUACCGCAUACGAUCUAAGGAUGAAAGUGGGGGACCGCAAGGCCUCACGCUCCUGGAGCGGCCGAUAUCUGAUUAGCUAGUUGGUGGGGUAAAAGCCUACCAAGGCGACGAUCAGUAGCUGGUCUGAGAGGACGACCAGCCACACUGGGACUGAGACACGGCCCAGACUCCUACGGGAGGCAGCAGUGGGGAAUUUUGGACAAUGGGGGAAACCCUGAUCCAGCAAUGCCGCGUGAGUGAAGAAGGCCUUCGGGUUGUAAAGCUCUUUUGUCAGGGAAGAAACGGUUCUGGAUAAUACCCGGAACUAAUGACGGUACCUGAAGAAUAAGCACCGGCUAACUACGUGCCAGCAGCCGCGGUAAUACGUAGGGUGCAAGCGUUAAUCGGAAUUACUGGGCGUAAAGCGUGCGCAGGCGGUUGUGCAAGACAGAUGUGAAAUCCCCGGGCUUAACCUGGGAACUGCAUUUGUGACUGCACGGCUAGAGUGUGUCAGAGGGGGGUAGAAUUCCACGUGUAGCAGUGAAAUGCGUAGAUAUGUGGAGGAAUACCGAUGGCGAAGGCAGCCCCCUGGGAUAACACUGACGCUCAUGC